UACGGAGGGUGCGAGCGUUGUCCGGAAUCACUGGGCGUAAAGGGCGCGUAGGCGGCUUUUUAAGGGUGCGGUGAAAGCCCGGGGCUCAACCCCGGGUCGGCCGUGCGGACUGCCGGGCUCGAGCACUGUAGAGGCAGGUGGAAUUCCGGGUGUAGCGGUGGAAUGCGUAGAGAUCCGGAAGAACACCGGUGGCGAAGGCGGCCUGCUGGGCAGUAGCUGACGCUGAAGCGCGACAGCGUGGGGAGCAAACAGG
Molecule: ribosomal RNA, 253 nt
Filed under: uncultured bacterium
Lineage: Bacteria
Description: partial 16S ribosomal RNA
Rfam family: Bacterial small subunit ribosomal RNA
Source: RNAcentral